GAGGGGGGUUAAACCAGCAAGGACUGCUAACCCCUGUAUCUGAGUCUAAAACCUCAGCCCCCUUA
Molecule: transfer RNA, 65 nt
Filed under: Tauraco erythrolophus (red-crested turaco)
Lineage: Eukaryota; Metazoa; Chordata; Aves; Musophagiformes; Musophagidae
Description: tRNA-Ser
Source: RNAcentral